CGGGCCCGCUGAAAAUUGGAACGUCAUGCUGACCCAUAAUGCUCUAGGCGCGCAUGCGCAAAAGUGAGCUGCGCCUUUGCGGUCCGUGCUCGACAGUCAGUCUUGCGGACGCGCGAUUCACGUUUAGUGCGCAGUUUUGGAUGUGCGAACCGACCGAAAUCGUCGACGGUCGUAUGUUUAAUCGUGAUAUUUGACGGAAGAACUUGAUCUCUUAUGCGGUCGACUGGUGCCUCGUGGUGUGACGCUUUCUGCUAAGGUCGUGGUGGCACGUUUCGCUAUGUCGCAAGUGCUUUGGUCGCGAGAGGCACAGUGACGACUCGCCCGUGAGACUGCCGACAUCCUCGACAGCCCUGUGAUGGAGUCUAUCAGAAAAUGGUUCUACAGGCCUAAGAGGGACGACACGAGUCUGCUCGCACAGUUUUUCUACGCGGACGAAUCGUUGAACGCGGUCGCGUGCGAAUUGGAUUCGUUCGACGGUCGCCAGGAGCCGGAGCGAUGCACCACGUUGGUGAAUCAGCUGCGCCAUUGCCAGGACAAGGUGUUGACGAUAUGUAGCCAAAUAAUGGACGACCUGAUACCCGAGAGCCGAGCGAACCGAGACUUCAGAGUGAAGUUUCCCGAUGACGUGAUGCAGGAGAAUUUAGCAGGACAGCUGUGGUUCGGUGCGGAAUGUCUCGCUGCAGGAUCCUCCAUCAUGAACAGGGAAGCUGAAAGUUCAGCGAUGAGACCACUCGCUAAGGCUUUGACAAAGUCGUUGGAUCUCGUCAGGAAUUUGCUCAGAGAGCAUGCGUUGAAAGGUCACAUGAACCUCAAGUAUCUCUUUCAGACGCAGAACCCUUUGGAUCCGUCUCUAGAGAAGCUGAUCGAGUCGUUGAAGAUCUUCGAUCGUCUGUUCGCUGAUUUUGAACUGUGCUACGUGGGCGCCAUGGUGCCGGUGAAAUCGACGAAAGAAUACGAGCAGCAAGAGCUUGUGUGCGUUUUAUUUUCGGAGACGUUGCAGAGAGCACUCGAGCGCGGUUUGCUUAGCCAGGCUGAUGUGGACAAUUACGAGCCAGCCCUGAUGUUUACCAUUCCUCGUUUGGCGAUUGUUUCUGGCCUCUUGGCUCCACCCGGGGGCCCACUGUGCCUCAAUUCCCCGGACAACAUCAGCGAAAUGUUUAGACCUUUUAGGACGCUUCUUUUAAAAAUAAGAGAGCUUUUGUGGACGUUAAACAACCGCGAACUGUACAUGUUGGAGAAGCUGUUGUGCUCGAACGAGGAACCGUCGGCUCCGCUCACGCAGUCCUCGAAGUCCGCGUGCCAAGACAUUCCAGACCUCGAGGAGUUCGUUCACAAUUUUUAUACCGGUUACCCGAACUGCAAAGACUUCAUCGUAGAUUUUUACACAGUGACGAGAAACACCGGGAACAACAUGGACGAGGUGGCGAACGACGUUGUCCGAACGUUGGACGACGAAAACGAGGACGCGAAUCGUUUAUCGGAACGGAACAGCGAUCAGGAGAGUGAGAGAUACGAGACCAAGAAUAGUAGUAUAGAAAUUGGGCCUAAUCGCUUAAACAUAUCUACGGACGUGUUUGAGGAGACUGUGAUGUGUAACGGUGAUGGGAGGACAUCCAGUGAUCGGGACAGUGUUCGCGACGAAGUGCAAUAUCACGUUAAGAAAGGGUGUAGUAGUUCGAGCAACGGUAGGAGAUCCUCUUGCGACGACGAUAGUCCUCGCUCGAGGAUAAUCGAGGUGAACGCGAAUCUUUUGAUAGAUCAAAGCAACGCGAGCCAAAUCGUCACCGAAGACAACGUUUCCAGCGUGAACGAGAACAGACGUGACGACCAACUGCAUAAACAAGAGGAACUAACCGCUUCUGAUAUAUCCGAGAUACUCGGCACUUCGGAGAACAUCGAAAUCCCACAGACACAGUACCUGCUGAACCAAGUAUCGCACGAGAACAAUGUGUCCGUUGAUACCGUGCACAUUCAGAACUCUUUGCCGGACCUCGACUCGAGGAAACUCAUUUCGGAGGCAAAUAAAACGUUAUCGAACCUCCUGCUAGACGGAGAGUGCCAGAACGAGAUCUCCGAGCAAACUGAUUCAGGAAUUUGCACAGUAAUUUCAUCGGAGAACACCAGCCUCUACGAUAAGAGCCCCGAAGAGAAGAAAACGUUCGCCAACGAGAUACAACAGGAUGAGCAGGUGUUGGACGAUGAUGACACGCAAGAGAAUACCAGUUACUCGUGCUCGAAUCUGAACUCCCCGAAGAGGAAAAGUUCUACCAUAUCGGACAACUCGUGUGUCUGUAGCUUGCGGAAUGUAAAGACGGUCCCUUGUCUGGACCACUCCAUCGAGGUACACAAUCUGCACGCGGCUAACACGGAAGGAGCGAAGAACGUUCCAAGAAUAUCGUCGAAUUUCGAUGGAACGAACGAAGAGUUCGUCGGGGUUGCCUAUGGCAAUGGACAGAUAUCCGUGUGCGAUUCGAACCAGUCCAGCUUCCAGAUCAACUACUCUGAGAACUGGGAGAACCUGAACCUGAGUAUCGACGCGUCCACGUCGAGGAGGGAAUUCUGGAGCGAUUUAAAGUGCGAGAAUUGUCCAUCCACGUCUCAGAACAUGGACAAGGUCGGCACGAAAAUCGAGCAGUACGCGCAGGACAAAGUGAUCUCGAGGAAGGCGAGGGAUGAGAGACAGAAACGGCGACAUCAGCGUAAACACGAGAGGAACAGCCAAAAGAUCCAUCAGGAGAACAGAAUGCAGAACUUCCAGAACGCGAAGACGUCAGCAAGCACUGAGAGUUCUAGAUCAAACUCGACAGAUCGCUGUUUGAACACCAGGCUGAUCAGCUACGGUGCUAGUUUGCAUCCCAGCCAGAACACUAGACAAAUGCCGAACUUCGGGAGUCACAGUCCUCGUGCUAGUCCUAGGCUGCAACACUUUGAAACGCGUUGCACGGCUAGUCAGAGGAACUGCAGUAUCGCCUCCAGAACACAGAGAAACCUAUCCCCUCAGAACAGAAAGCUUCUGGAUCACAGAAGGUCUAGGUCCGAACAGAUGAACAGAAUAAAGAGGAGGGAUCUGGAGAAGAGGGACAAGUACGAACGGGCGAACCCCCGAGCGGAACAAACGAAGAGGAAAUUGGGCAGUAGAAGUCCUAGUGAACUGAUGAACGACGGGUUGGGACCAAGGACGGAUAAAAGUGGACUGGCGAACGAGCCGGUUUCUCCUACGACGACGCAGAGCUUCUCGUAUGGGACGCAAAAAGACAAUAACUCGCAGCGAGCCACGCGAGCGGUAAGACUGGUGAAUGCGUCCACGGUUCAAGGAACACAGUCGUUCAGCUCGGAUCAGUCGUCGUUGAUCCAGAAGCCGGAUCUAGGAUCCAGUUCUAGCUGUUCGAGUUGCUGCGAUUCCAGCUCGGAGACUAGCGAGUUCCAAAGCGAGUGUCAGGACGAUGAAGAAAUCGCUCUGGCCAUGCAGGCCGCGGAGAUUGCGAACAGAAAUCAGAUUCGGGCGAAAUUUCGAGGUUCCUACAAGAAAACAGUUUGAAGCAUCCUCUUUGGGUCUCAACAAGUUUCUUCACGUUGAAAAAUUAAAGUUAAAUAUCUAUAUGUAUAUUAAGAAAAUGUAUUCUAUUACUUGGUAAUUGUGAUGAACUGAUACUGUCGGUUUGCAUGAUUAUUGACAUAACUCAGAAAUCAUUGAUUUUACUUGAGAAAAUAAGCUCUAAAAGUAGGUCCUUUUAUCUGGAAGUUGAAAUGUGCAUAGCUGCCGCUAGAUGGCACCAGUACCACUGUUCCUAUUUUGCAAAUAGAAUGAGGAGCUGUUUUAUCUCCUAAGAAACAGUUAACAUUUCGAUAAAGAAAAGUCAUCAGAGGAUCUCGUGCAUCGAUUAUUUGUGUGCAUAGCCGGCGUAGCAGAUCAGUUGCAGACGAAUUUUGCGUCUGAUUUGAGA
This 3944-nucleotide unclassified non-coding RNA is filed under the name Megachile rotundata (alfalfa leafcutting bee). Its description in RNAcentral is "lateral signaling target protein 2 homolog, transcript variant X2". The record is from RNAcentral. Lineage: Eukaryota; Metazoa; Arthropoda; Insecta; Hymenoptera; Megachilidae.